CCUACGGGUGGCAGCAGUGGGGAAUAUUGGACAAUGGGGGGAACCCUGAUCCAGCCAUGCCGCGUGUGUGAAGAAGGCCCUCGGGUUGUAAAGCACUUUCAGUGAGGAAGAACGCCUGGUGGUUAAUACCCAUCAGGAAAGACAUCACUCACAGAAGAAGCACCGGCUAACUCCGUGCCAGCAGCCGCGGUAAUACGGAGGGUGCGAGCGUUAAUCGGAAUUACUGGGCGUAAAGCGCGCGUAGGUGGCUUGAUAAGCCGGUUGUGAAAGCCCCGGGCUCAACCUGGGAACGGCAUCCGGAACUGUCAAGCUAGAGUGCAGGAGAGGAAGGUAGAAUUCCCGGUGUAGCGGUGAAAUGCGUAGUGAUCGGGAGGAAUACCAGUGGCGAAGGCGGCCUUCUGGACUGACACUGACACUGAGGUGCGAAAGCGUGGGUAGCAAACAGGAUUAGAUACCCUUGUAGUC
RNAcentral lists this ribosomal RNA (465 nucleotides) under Vreelandella stevensii. Its description in RNAcentral is "partial 16S ribosomal RNA". It matches the Rfam family "Bacterial small subunit ribosomal RNA", at positions 338 to 795 of the family's 1533-position model. The record is from RNAcentral. Lineage: Bacteria; Pseudomonadati; Pseudomonadota; Gammaproteobacteria; Oceanospirillales; Halomonadaceae.